Molecule: ribosomal RNA, 454 nt
Filed under: uncultured bacterium
Lineage: Bacteria
Description: partial 16S ribosomal RNA
Rfam family: Bacterial small subunit ribosomal RNA
Source: RNAcentral
GAUGAACGCUGACAGAAUGCUUAACACAUGCAAGUCCACUUGAACUUCGGUUUGGGUGGCGGACGGGUGAGUAACGCGUACAGAACUUGCCUCACAGAUAGGGACAACAUUUGGAAACGAAUGCUAAUACCUGAUAUUAUGAUUAUAUGGCAUCGUAUAAUUAUGAAAGCUAUAUGCGCUGUGAGAGAGCUUUGCGUCCCAUUAGCUAGUUGGAGAGGUAACGGCUCACCAAGGCGAUGAUGGGUAGCCGGCCUGAGAGGGUGAUCGGCCACAAGGGGACUGAGACACGGCCCUUACUCCUACGGGAGGCAGCAGUGGGGAAUAUUGGACAAUGGACCAAGAGUCUGAUCCAGCAACUCUGUGUGCACGAUGAAGUUUUUCGGAAUGUAAAGUGCUUUCAGUUGGGAAGAAAAAAAUGACGGUACCAACAGAAGAAGUGACGGCUAAAUACGUG